This 2085-nucleotide ribosomal RNA is filed under the name Staphylococcus aureus. RNAcentral describes it as "partial 23S ribosomal RNA". It matches the Rfam family "Bacterial large subunit ribosomal RNA", at positions 837 to 2925 of the family's 2925-position model. Lineage: Bacteria; Bacillati; Bacillota; Bacilli; Caryophanales; Staphylococcaceae. The record is from RNAcentral.
ACCUGGAGAUAGCUGGUUCUCUCCGAAAUAGCUUUAGGGCUAGCCUCAAGUGAUGAUUAUUGGAGGUAGAGCACUGUUUGGACGAGGGGCCCCUCUCGGGUUACCGAAUUCAGACAAACUCCGAAUGCCAAUUAAUUUAACUUGGGAGUCAGAACAUGGGUGAUAAGGUCCGUGUUCGAAAGGGAAACAGCCCAGACCACCAGCUAAGGUCCCAAAAUAUAUGUUAAGUGGAAAAGGAUGUGGCGUUGCCCAGACAACUAGGAUGUUGGCUUAGAAGCAGCCAUCAUUUAAAGAGUGCGUAAUAGCUCACUAGUCGAGUGACACUGCGCCGAAAAUGUACCGGGGCUAAACAUAUUACCGAAGCUGUGGAUUGUCCUUUGGACAAUGGUAGGAGAGCGUUCUAAGGGCGUUGAAGCAUGAUCGUAAGGACAUGUGGAGCGCUUAGAAGUGAGAAUGCCGGUGUGAGUAGCGAAAGACGGGUGAGAAUCCCGUCCACCGAUUGACUAAGGUUUCCAGAGGAAGGCUCGUCCGCUCUGGGUUAGUCGGGUCCUAAGCUGAGGCCGACAGGCGUAGGCGAUGGAUAACAGGUUGAUAUUCCUGUACCACCUAUAAUCGUUUUAAUCGAUGGGGGGACGCAGUAGGAUAGGCGAAGCGUGCGAUUGGAUUGCACGUCUAAGCAGUAAGGCUGAGUAUUAGGCAAAUCCGGUACUCGUUAAGGCUGAGCUGUGAUGGGGAGAAGACAUUGUGUCUUCGAGUCGUUGAUUUCACACUGCCGAGAAAAGCCUCUAGAUAGAAAAUAGGUGCCCGUACCGCAAACCGACACAGGUAGUCAAGAUGAGAAUUCUAAGGUGAGCGAGCGAACUCUCGUUAAGGAACUCGGCAAAAUGACCCCGUAACUUCGGGAGAAGGGGUGCUCUUUAGGGUUAACGCCCAGAAGAGCCGCAGUGAAUAGGCCCAAGCGACUGUUUAUCAAAAACACAGGUCUCUGCUAAACCGUAAGGUGAUGUAUAGGGGCUGACGCCUGCCCGGUGCUGGAAGGUUAAGAGGAGUGGUUAGCUUCUGCGAAGCUACGAAUCGAAGCCCCAGUAAACGGCGGCCGUAACUAUAACGGUCCUAAGGUAGCGAAAUUCCUUGUCGGGUAAGUUCCGACCCGCACGAAAGGCGUAACGAUUUGGGCACUGUCUCAACGAGAGACUCGGUGAAAUCAUAGUACCUGUGAAGAUGCAGGUUACCCGCGACAGGACGGAAAGACCCCGUGGAGCUUUACUGUAGCCUGAUAUUGAAAUUCGGCACAGCUUGUACAGGAUAGGUAGGAGCCUUUGAAACGUGAGCGCUAGCUUACGUGGAGGCGCUGGUGGGAUACUACCCUAGCUGUGUUGGCUUUCUAACCCGCACCACUUAUCGUGGUGGGAGACAGUGUCAGGCGGGCAGUUUGACUGGGGCGGUCGCCUCCUAAAAGGUAACGGAGGCGCUCAAAGGUUCCCUCAGAAUGGUUGGAAAUCAUUCAUAGAGUGUAAAGGCAUAAGGGAGCUUGACUGCGAGACCUACAAGUCGAGCAGGGUCGAAAGACGGACUUAGUGAUCCGGUGGUUCCGCAUGGAAGGGCCAUCGCUCAACGGAUAAAAGCUACCCCGGGGAUAACAGGCUUAUCUCCCCCAAGAGUUCACAUCGACGGGGAGGUUUGGCACCUCGAUGUCGGCUCAUCGCAUCCUGGGGCUGUAGUCGGUCCCAAGGGUUGGGCUGUUCGCCCAUUAAAGCGGUACGCGAGCUGGGUUCAGAACGUCGUGAGACAGUUCGGUCCCUAUCCGUCGUGGGCGUAGGAAAUUUGAGAGGAGCUGUCCUUAGUACGAGAGGACCGGGAUGGACAUACCUCUGGUGUACCAGUUGUCGUGCCAACGGCAUAGCUGGGUAGCUAUGUGUGGACGGGAUAAGUGCUGAAAGCAUCUAAGCAUGAAGCCCCCCUCAAGAUGAGAUUUCCCAACUUCGGUUAUAAGAUCCCUCAAAGAUGAUGAGGUUAAUAGGUUCGAGGUGGAAGCAUGGUGACAUGUGGAGCUGACGAAUACUAAUCGAUCGAAGACUUAAUCAA